CCGGCGCACGGGUGAGUAACACGUAUCCAACCAGCCGUCUACUCUUGGACAGCCUUCUGAAAGGAAGAUUAAUACAAGAUGGCAUCAUGAGUCCGCAUGUUCACAUGAUUAAAGGUAUUCCGGUAGACGAUGGGGAUGCGUUCCAUUAGAUAGUAGGCGGGGUAACGGCCCACCUAGUCUUCGAUGGGUAGGGGUUCUGAGAGGAAGGUCCCCCACAUUGGAACUGAGACACGGUCCAA
This 239-nucleotide ribosomal RNA is filed under the name uncultured bacterium. RNAcentral describes it as "partial 16S ribosomal RNA". It matches the Rfam family "Bacterial small subunit ribosomal RNA", at positions 95 to 334 of the family's 1533-position model. The record is from RNAcentral.